GACGAACGCUGGCGGCGUGCUUAACACAUGCAAGUCGAACGGAAAGGCCCUGCUUUUGUGGGGUGCUCGAGUGGCGAACGGGUGAGUAACACGUGAGUAACCUGCCCUUGACUUUGGGAUAACUUCAGGAAACUGGGGCUAAUACCGGAUAGGAGCUCCUGCUGCAUGGUGGGGGUUGGAAAGUUUCGGCGGUUGGGGAUGGACUCGCGGCUUAUCAGCUUGUUGGUGGGGUAGUGGCUUACCAAGGCUUUGACGGGUAGCCGGCCUGUGAGGGUGACCGGCCACAUGAGGACUGAGAGACGGCCCAGAGUCGUACGGGAGGCAGCAGUGGGGAAUAUUGCACAAUGGGCGGAAGCCUGAUGCAGCAACGCCGCGUGCGGGAUGACGGCCUUCGGGUUGUAAACCGCUUUCGCCUGUGACGAAGCGUGAGUGACGGUAAUGGGUAAAGAAGCACCGGCUAACUACGUG
This 468-nucleotide ribosomal RNA is filed under the name uncultured bacterium. Its description in RNAcentral is "partial 16S ribosomal RNA". It matches the Rfam family "Bacterial small subunit ribosomal RNA", at positions 28 to 507 of the family's 1533-position model. The record is from RNAcentral.